GGUGCAAGAACAUGGUGGUGAACCUAUCAUUCCUUUUAGCGGUGUGCUUGAGAGGAACCUUGCUGAUUUGGAACCUGCUGAAGCUGCAAGUAUUGCGAGGAAACAAGGUGCAAAGUGCUCUUCCAAAGAUCAUCAAGACUGGUUUCUCUGCGAUUAAUCUCAUAUUUCUUCACAGCAGGACCAGAUGAGGUGAAAUGCUGGCAAAUUAGACGGCAAUCCAAGGCUCCUCAAGCUGCAGGAGCCAUUCAUACUGAUUUUGAGAGAGGAUUUAUAUGUGCUGUGGUCAUGAAAUUCGAAGAUCUGAAGGAGCUUGG
This is a long non-coding RNA of Hibiscus syriacus, 314 nucleotides long. RefSeq lists it as uncharacterized. The transcript is spliced from 4 exons. Lineage: Eukaryota; Viridiplantae; Streptophyta; Magnoliopsida; Malvales; Malvaceae. The record is from RefSeq and is a predicted model, not a curated record.